Oryzias melastigma (Indian medaka) is the source of this 1421-nucleotide long non-coding RNA. RefSeq lists it as uncharacterized. The record is from RefSeq and is a predicted model, not a curated record. NCBI's taxonomy places the organism in Eukaryota, Metazoa, Chordata, Actinopteri, Beloniformes, Adrianichthyidae. The transcript is spliced from 6 exons.
UUGACAUAUAAACACCGGAAGUUGUGUUUCGUUUCCGGUAGCUUGACAUGCGCGGUUCUUUAGCAACUUCUCAUUUCGGUCGGCCCCGCCCCCUCCCCGAGGAUAGGAGUUGGGGGCGAUAUAGAGGGAAACCCCGCUAUUACCGCCGAAGCGAGUUUUCACGGUCCCAAACGAAAUAAAACUACUGCACCCGUCAGAAGCUCUCUUCUGUUCCUUGAGACCAAGGCUGUUACAUCUAUGAUGGCAAAGUGGUCAAUAACACACUGAGCUGUUUGUUCUUUCAUUGGAUAUCAAGUACGGAUUAGGAGUUCUACUUUACCUGAGACAGUGCGGUCUUUGGGAUCCCUCUGCAGUUUGACCCUGAGAUGCCUUCAUGCAUUUCUCCCCCGUCUGCCGGGAUGGUUUCUAUAAACAGCCACAUCGAUGAUUCAUACAGUAAGAGAACGGCAGUCAAUCACUCACAUUACCAUCAAGAAAGCCUUUCUAGCAUCCCAUGGGAACCAAAGCCAGACAGCAGAAUACACUAACAGCUUCACAGUUCUUUCUAAAUCAGAGCUACAACAAGGUCAAAGAGAGAAGACAAUCUGAAAACCACAGAUGGAAACCAGAUAGUGGGAAGAAAAGAGCUCCACUGAAAGAUCCAUCUGGGAGUUGGAGAGAUACGAAGAUGUGCUGCUGAAACCACAUGGUGAGAACACACAGCAGACUAUCUGAGCUGCUGCAUGGAGGUGGACUCCCCGACCAAAGCAAUAUGUCGUUCGUCUAGCAAAAAUCCUGCGUGGAUCUGACAGAAAAGCACCUCACAAACAGGAAACGGUCAGCUUUUCAGAGUAAAAGUUCCUCAACUCUUCCCAGGUGGCAGGGAGAGGAGUUUCUUAUAUUAUUUCUGUCUGGUGUAUUUUUUUAUUAUUUUUAUUGGAAUUCAGUAAGAAACAAAAUAAAAUAAAUGUAUUUGUAUUUGUCAGGUUAAAAUAAAAUAAAAACUUCAGUUGGACUCAGUUUUUUUGGCUUGAAGAUAUUUUACCUCUCAUCCAAAUGGAACAUCUUUAAGCCAAAAAAAAAAAAAUAGGUCCAAUCAAAUUUUGUAUUAUUUUGUUUUUGAUUAUAUCAUGACCUGGAUGACUGAGAAUCUACAUCAAAAUAUUUGUCAUAAACUUGAUGAAUCAGGAUUCCACCUUUCUCACUCAGCUUCUUUGAUUUGUGCUUGGAAGCGAAGCGGCGCCUCUCCCAUCUUGUGUAAGACUUCUCAGACUCGCACACGGAUUCCCGAUGAGCGCAGCGUGACAUGGAGCCUGAGCUACAGUACAUCCACUCUUAACAGGCUUCUCUUAUUAUGAACGGUGGUGGAAGCAGGAAACACAAUAAUGUCAGUUAAAUGUUAAACUUCUGCUGCAAGUACAUUACGAAAUACUACAUUUGUU